GAAAAAGCACAAGCAGGGAAAGAGAGAAGUAGGCUCCCCACUGAGCAGAGAGCCCUGUGUGGAACUCGAUCCCAGGACCCCGGAAUCAUAACGUGAGCCCAAGGCAGAUGCUUAACCUGUUGAGCUGCCCUGGCACCCCCAUGGGGGUCUGGUUGCCUUCAGAGGUGUCCUUCUUGGCAACAAACCUGUGUAUAUGCUCUUCCUUUUGGGGAGAAGUGAGCCUCUUCUCUGUGCUGAGGACCAGGUGAGUUAAACUCAGC
Molecule: long non-coding RNA, 260 nt
Filed under: Mustela putorius furo (domestic ferret)
Lineage: Eukaryota; Metazoa; Chordata; Mammalia; Carnivora; Mustelidae
Description: lncRNA (ENSMPUG00000028418.1)
Source: RNAcentral